RNA transcript from Mobula hypostoma (lesser devil ray), 1513 nucleotides. RefSeq lists it as uncharacterized. The record is from RefSeq and is a predicted model, not a curated record. Lineage: Eukaryota; Metazoa; Chordata; Chondrichthyes; Myliobatiformes; Myliobatidae. The transcript is spliced from 2 exons.
CCCAGUUCUGCCUUUGGUUUUGUCCCAAUUUCUGCCUUAAAAGUUUUUUUAAAAAGUGAUGUGCCUGUCUGACUCUGAGCGGCUGUUCCAAGUAAUAAUUAAACAGGUUUAACUUUCUACAACGUGUUCCUCGGAUAAUCCCAAACACCAAAUUGUCUGCUGUUGGAUUAUAGAGGAAGGAGGUACUCAUUUGUGAACGGCAAACUCCCAUUAACACCAACGUAGUGACGGAAACUUGUUGGUCCCGCUGGCGUUCUGUCGUUAAAGCUUAAAUCCAGGGUUCACGGGUGAGGCUGGGAUGUGCGGCAGAUUCGGGAGAGCGGUGGCGGAGUCGAGUCUGUCAUUUUUGCCUAACCUCGCAGUGCCUUUUAAAUUUCCCCACUCGCCUCCCAUAUCCUAAACCGUCAGGUCCAGUGUAAUGACAGACACCAAACUGGAAUGCAAAGGGAAGAAAAAAGUUUUUAGGUUUAUAUUUCUGAGUUAUUUACCCCAGUUUUAAUGUCUCUGAAUGUGCGCGGCUUCACUGAAUUUAGCCUUGCUCGCUACUCCCAGAUUUGCCUGGUUUUUAGGACAGAAGUUCAGCAUAGUUUAGCUUUCGCUGUCUGUCCUGAGGAGCAAGGCCAAUUCUGUGUCCGAUCGAGAAUUGUAAACUCGUUACUGUACAAGACGAUGCCGUUCAGCCCAAAGGCUCCAUGUUGGCUCUUUACAUUAAAAAUAAAUUAUAUUCAUUCAAAAUAUAUUUGGGUAACACAAAGCACAGGUCCUUCUUCUGAACAAAAGAAAUUCUGCAGAUACUGGAAAUCUAGAGCAACGCGCUCAAAAUACUGGCGGUACUCAGCAGAUCGGGGAAAACGAACUGUGGACAUUUUGGGCCAAGAUCCUUCAUCAGGACUGGAAAAAGAAUGGGACAGAUGCCAGUAUAAGAAGUUUUGUUCAAGCUAGAAGGAGGAGGAGAAGAUGGCGGCGCGACACAGCGCCCAGCGGCCACUCCAGUGAUGAAUAUCUGUAAUCUGUCAAGUGGGGUGCCGUGCACAAUUCUGAUUUGAUGGAGACGGAUGUGAGAGUACAGAGGAACAUCUGGUGAAACUUCUGAAAUUCCUGCUUCGCUGCCACUGAUACUGUGUGGUCCUUUCUGGAGGGGAAGGCCCCAGAUCCUUAGCUUUGCUUGUUGCUCGACGGCCGGGGCAGGUUCGAAGUGCUCAGCAGAAAUGGUGCUCGGUGCUCGGUGUCGGAGGGCUGGUCGGAGGCUCGAAGUUUUCGGAUGGACUCAGUCGGACUGUGGUCGGGUGCUUCCAGGAUGCUGCAUCGGCAAGUUUGCAGCGCUGGAAGCUCAUGGCAGGAAGAGUUUCUCCCUUCUACCGUCUGCAUGAGAUGAUGGGGCUAUCGGGACUUUGAGACUUUUUUUACUGUGCCCAUGGUCUGCUCUUUAUCAAAUUACGGUAUUGCCUUGCACUGUUGUAACUAUAUGUUAUAAUUAUACGGUUUUUGUCAGUUUUAGUCUUGGUCUGUCUUG